Molecule: ribosomal RNA, 307 nt
Filed under: uncultured Clostridium sp.
Lineage: Bacteria; Bacillati; Bacillota; Clostridia; Eubacteriales; Clostridiaceae
Description: bacterial SSU rRNA
Rfam family: Bacterial small subunit ribosomal RNA
Source: RNAcentral
UGGGGGGAUAUUGGACAAUGGGGGCAACCCUGAUCCAGCGACGCCGCGUGAGGGAAGAAGGUUUUCGGAUUGUAAACCUCUGUUGACGGAGAAAAAGAUGAUGGUAUCCGUUUAGAAAGCCACGGCUAACUACGUGCCAGCAGCCGCGGUAAUACGUAGGUGGCAAGCGUUGUCCGGAAUUACUGGGUGUAAAGGGAGUGUAGGCGGGAUUUUAAGUCAGAAGUGAAAAUUACGGGCUCAACUCGUAACCUGCUUUUGAAACUGAAAUUCUUGAGUGAAGUAGAGGCAAGCGGAAUUCCUAGUGUAG